AAGUAUUCAUACUUUUGCUUCUUUUAUUAUUGUUUGCAUCAUCAUUUUCAUUAUCAUUUCUAUUGUUAUCUAGUCAUAAAUUAAUUUAUCUAGACAAGUGUUGCAAGUCUAUUCAAGCAAAAAAUUCUUUUUGCAGCUCUAGCUUUUUCUUUGAUAUUCAAGUUGUUCCAAGUCAGCCAUUUAAUAAUACCUUAGUAAUUCUACGUAUAUAUGAUAUUUCACAUCUUAACGCAACUAAUACAUGAUAGUUUUCUUUUAGGCUACAUCCUUAUUUGGUCUCAUUGGAUUGUAUUGCAGCAUUACUGAAAUGACAUUUUUAUUGUUAGGUUAUCUUGUAUGUUGGAAUAUUAUCAUAACAUGUUAUCCAAUGAAGGUUUUAGAUUCAAUACCUUCACAUUUAUUUGGAUUCCACAUUUAUUUGGAUUCCAAAUUAUUGUAGAAAAUAAUUGAUUUUGAUAUCUAAAACAUGUUAUCAUAUUGUGUUAUCUAUAGGGAUAUUAGUAGACUAUAG
This 511-nucleotide unclassified non-coding RNA is filed under the name Hevea brasiliensis (rubber tree). The record is from RNAcentral. Lineage: Eukaryota; Viridiplantae; Streptophyta; Magnoliopsida; Malpighiales; Euphorbiaceae.